RNAcentral lists this ribosomal RNA (605 nucleotides) under uncultured bacterium. Its description in RNAcentral is "bacterial SSU rRNA". It matches the Rfam family "Bacterial small subunit ribosomal RNA", at positions 220 to 842 of the family's 1533-position model. The record is from RNAcentral.
GUAAGAUGGGCCCGCGUCUGAUUAGGUAGUUGGUGGGGUAGAAGCCUACCAAGCCGACGAUCAGUAGCCGACCUGAGAGGGCGACCGGCCACAUUGGGACUGAGACACGGCCCAAACUCCUACGGGAGGCAGCAGUGGGGAAUAUUGCACAAUGGGGGAAACCCUGAUGCAGCGACGCCGCGUGAGUGAGGAAGUAUUUCGGUAUGUAAAGCUCUAUCAGCAGGGAAGAAAAUGACGGUACCUGACUAAGAAGCCCCGGCUAACUACGUGCCAGCAGCCGCGGUAAUACGUAGGGGGCAAGCGUUAUCCGGAUUUACUGGGUGUAAAGGGAGCGUAGACGGAUAAGCAAGUCUGAUGUGAAAAUCCGGGGCCCAACCCCGGAAUUGCAUUGGAAACUGCAUAUCUAGAGUGUCGGAGAGGCAAGUGGAAUUCCUGGUGUAGCGGUGAAAUGCGUAGAUAUCAGGAGGAACACCAGUGGCGAAGGCGGCUUGCUGGACGAUGACUGACGUUGAGGCUCGAAAGCGUGGGGAGCAAACAGGAUUAGAUACCCUGGUAGUCCACGCCGUAAACGAUGACUACUAGGUGUCGGGAGGCAAAGCCUUUCG